GGUUUGGCUGCCCACGGUGCUUCUCAGCUGGGUAAUUGGGAUAAGGGGCAGGAGGGUGGCGAUAAAGGAGCUUGUAUUUCCUUCUACCGGCGUCGCUUCGCUGCCCUUCGUUCUGCUCCGUGCGGCAAGUUCCAGCCCUAUGGAAUCCCCCAACCCCAUAGGAAGCCCUCAGCACCAUGGGAUACCGCAAUCACUGGGGCACAGAGGCAAGUCUUCAAGGUGGGAACGAUGAGCAUUAUAAAUCCCCCUCCUCUAAACCCCCACCUGCUCCCAGGUUUUCCCUCCUGCCAACAUCACUCAGGCUGCGGAGCACGUAAAGAGGUCAAAAUGCAGCAUCGUGUUAAGUGUAGUAAACCAGAGGUACAGUUUUCCGCUCGUAAAAUUAACAACAAACUACAUGCAAGUUACAAAAUCCAUCCCCUCCCUCCCUCCACCCCCCCCAGAAAAAAAAAAAAAACAAA
This is a long non-coding RNA of Tympanuchus pallidicinctus (lesser prairie-chicken), 461 nucleotides long. RefSeq lists it as uncharacterized. The record is from RefSeq and is a predicted model, not a curated record. NCBI's taxonomy places the organism in Eukaryota, Metazoa, Chordata, Aves, Galliformes, Phasianidae. The transcript has 2 exons.